This is a long non-coding RNA of Neofelis nebulosa (Clouded leopard), 828 nucleotides long. RefSeq lists it as uncharacterized. The transcript is spliced from 4 exons. The record is from RefSeq and is a predicted model, not a curated record. Lineage: Eukaryota; Metazoa; Chordata; Mammalia; Carnivora; Felidae.
AGAGGGGGACGCAGAAUCUGAAGCAGGCUCCAGGCUCUGAGCUGUCAACCAGAGGCCCGAUGUGGGGCUCAAACUCACGAACCGUGAGAUCAUGACCUGAGCUGAAGUCGGACACUUAACUGACAGCUACCCAGGUACCCUAAAAAAUAAUUAUUUCUAUUCCUGUCUUCUUGUCACUUUAGAGUUUCCUAGAGGCUGAGUAUGAUGGUACUCUCACAAACCUUAAGAUCUACCAGCUGAAGGUGACUUCAGGGAUUUUCAAACAUCUUUUAUACCAAAAUCCAAGGGAUUGUUUUUAAAGCUUAUGUUGCCACUGGGAAUGAGUUCUUUAGAUUUUGAUUUUCUACGAAGAAAAGGAUACGAAAAUGAAAAGAAAGCAGGAGCUGAAAGAAUAGGAGAGAAGAGAAAGAGAAAUUAGAAAGGGAAAGAAGAAAACCAAGGACUGAUCCUUGGGAUGCUCCAAAAUUAAUAGGUCUUGGAGAAGAGAGAGUGCUAGCAUGAAGACUGAGAAGGAAUAACCAGUGAGCUAGGAGGCAAAUGAAAAAGAGUAUGGUGUCCUGGAAGCCAUGUGAAGAAAAUAUAUUGAGGAAGAGGGAGUCAUCAGCCAUGCCACUGGAUUUACAGGCAGCUAAUGAAGUAAACCAACCCAGGGACUUCCUCUAGACUGGGAGGUGCUAACCAAGGGAGUACAACAGAAAGCAUGCCUGGGGUGAGUGGCUUGGCCUAGCUUUUAGUCUGUCCACAUCAGAGGACACAGUAUGGUGCCUCCCAGUCCUCAUCUGGCCCCCAGACCUUUUUGUUGUUGUUCUAAUAAAAUUUAAAAUCAUU